GACGAACGCUGGCGGCGUGCUUAACACAUGCAAGUCGAACGGAAAGGCCCUGCUUUUGUGGGGUGCUCGAGUGGCGAACGGGUGAGUAACACGUGAGUAACCUGCCCUUGACUUUGGGAUAACUUCAGGAAACUGGGGCUAAUACCGGAUAGGAGCUCCUGCUGCAUGGUGGGGGUUGGAAAGUUUCGGCGGUUGGGGAUGGACUCGCGGCUUAUCAGCUUGUUGGUGGGGUAGUGGCUUACCAAGGCUUUGACGGGUAGCCGGCCUGGGAGGGUGACCGGCCCAAUGGGGAUGGGAAACCGGCCCGACCCCUCCCGGGGGGUAAGGGGGGGGAAUAUUGCCAAGUGGGGGAAGGCUCGAUGCGGCACCGCCGCUGGCGGGUGGCGGCCUUUCGGUUUUUAAACCGCUUUCCCCUGUAGCGAAGGGGGGGGGCCGGAAAGGGGAAAAGAAGCCCCGGCAAACUACGG
Molecule: ribosomal RNA, 467 nt
Filed under: uncultured bacterium
Lineage: Bacteria
Description: partial 16S ribosomal RNA
Rfam family: Bacterial small subunit ribosomal RNA
Source: RNAcentral